UUAAGAAAAUUAUUAAAAAUACAAUAUACUGAUGAAAAACUCUGAAAGAAUACUCAUCUAUUCUAAAAUAUUCUUGUUAUCCUAAUUUCUAAAUCACAAACCCAAAUGUACAGCAUUUCUCAAAAAAAUUGGAAACUUUCCAAAAUCAGCAGUUUUUAAGAAAAUUAUUUAAAAAUACUAUAUACUGAUGAAAAAUUCUGAAACAAUACUCAUCUAUCCUAAAAUAUUCUUGUUAUUCUAAUUUCUAAAUCACAAACCCAAAUCUACAGUAUUUUUUGGAAAAUUGAAAACUUUCCAAAAAUAGCAGUUUUUAAGAAAAUUAUUUACAAAUACUAUAUACUGAUGAAAAAUUCUGAAAGAAUUCUCAUCUAUCCUAAAAUAUUAUUGUUAUCCUAAUUUUAAAUCACAAACCCAAAUGUACAGUAUUUUGUCAAAAAAUUGGAAACUUUCCAAAAAUAGAAGUUUUUAAUAAAAUUAUUUAAAAAUACUAUAUACUGAUGAAAAAUUCAGAAACAAUACUCAUCUAUCCUAAAAUAUUCUUGUUAUCCUAAUUUGUAAAUCACAAACCCAAAUCUACAGUAUUUCUCAAAAAAUUGAAAACUUUAAAAAAAUAGCAGUUUUUAAAAAAAUUAUUCUAAAAUACAAUGUAUCGAUGAAAAAUUCUGAAACAGUACUCAUCUAACCUAAAAUAAUCUUGUUAUCCUAAUUUCUAAAUCACAAACCCAAAUUUACAGUAUUUUUCAAAAAAUUGAAAACUUUCCAAAAUAGCAGUUUUUAAGAAGAUUAUUUAAAAAUACUAUAUACUGAUGAAAAAUUCUGAAAGAAUAGUCUUCUAUCGUAAAAUAUUAUUGUUAUCCUAAUUUCUAAAUCAAAAACCAAAAUCUACAGUAUUUCUUGGAAAAUUGAAAACUUUCCAAAAAUAGCAGUUUUUAAGAAAAUUAUUUAAAAAUACUAUAUAUUG
Molecule: long non-coding RNA, 961 nt
Filed under: Brassica napus (rape)
Lineage: Eukaryota; Viridiplantae; Streptophyta; Magnoliopsida; Brassicales; Brassicaceae
Description: long non-coding RNA (BNAP_LNC001085)
Source: RNAcentral